CGUCCUGCUCCCGCCACACACACCCAUAUCACACAUGCCGCUCCUCCACCUCUCGCUUCCGCCGCACCGUCUCCUCGUCGGCCGCCGGCGACUAUUCGCCCCGCCGACGCCUCCUCCCUCUCGUAUCUCGAUAAGGGCGGCAGCGUUGAUAUCGUCAGCCGCGGAGGACGGAAGCGAUCUCCCCUUCCCUCCAGAGCGCGCUCCCCACCACCGCGAGCUCGCCGCGGCCGCUGCCUCUGUCGAGCGCGCCUGCCGCCUCUGCGUAGACGUGAAGAGAUCACUUCUUUCAGGUGGAAGGAAGAUUCUUGAAAAGAAUGACCAAAGUCCUGUGACAAUUGCAGAUUUUGGAGUUCAGGCCCUUAUCAGCUUCGAGCUCCAGCAACUGUUUCCAUCAAUACCUCUGGUGGCAGAAGAGGACUCAACAUUUCUGAAGUCAUCUAAUCCUGAUGAUAACAGUGGUAAUGUACUCAUUGAGUCAAUUUCAAGUGCUGUCACAGACAAAGUGAAAAAUAGUGGUUCACCUUUAACUCAUGAUGAUGUGUUGAGAGCUAUUGAUAGAGGAGGCAAGGAUGCUGUCUCCUUUGAUUCAAAUCCUGCUACUUAUUGGGUAAACUGCCAAGGUUUCAUUAAUCGCAUAUCAGGAUCUGUAGAAGUUCGUUCCACUGAGUUAUCAUGAUGCUGCGGUUUUGAAGGUACUUGAUCCAAUUGAUGGCACUAAAGGUUUCUUGAAAGGAGAUGAUGCUCUGUAUGUGGUACAGCUCUCUGUUUAUUUGUUUCUUUUUGCUUGAAUGAACGGCAGAAGCUCUUCCUAAUUAUUUUAUGGGAGGGAAAGAUUAUGUACAGGGGGCUAAAAGACAAACAGCUAGGUGCCAAAACUAUUUAAUCUGUACAGGAGCUUGCAGAAACAGCAUUAGGCUGGCUGAGCUAAGUAGGUAGCUAGCAGUCUAUCAUUGCUCCAUCCCAUUGUUCAUUGUCCUCAUGAACUUCGCGUGCAUUCUAUCUUGGACUUAAGGGUUGAUUCUGCAAGAUUCUACUACUCCUCUACUUGCAUACAUUCUACCAGCUAUGCAUAACUAACCCAAUGGAGUCAUUCGACACCUUUCUUUUGAAAAUUGUACCUUUCUCUUGUCACAAAGCUGACAGGGAAACCAAGUUGUAAGAGUCCACAAUAUUCAUGAUGUCACAGCCUAGCCAGCUGAGUACUGUAUUCCGCACAAAUUUAGCAACAAGGAGCAUAACAGGCAUAGUUGGAACACCGUUUUCUGUGAUGUGUCAGUGCGGGGCAAGAUUGUUCCUGAAGGCCAUCCUCUCUUGGUGGGGUGGUUCUGUGUUCAUUAUAAGGCUUAUCACUGGGUAUUGCUGACCGCAUCCUGUUUCUGGGCAUUAUGUGUGUCGGACACUAUUUUCUCAAACACACAUUAAAAUGUGUAUUGUACUAGAAAAUGUCGUGAUGAUGCAUAUUGGACUAUUUAUAUGUGUAGCUUGUCUCUGGGCCUCCAUCAUGUGUUCCCUGUAGCAUAAGCGAUCCAGAUGCAUGUAUCAAAAGCCACAAUCAACAUUAUGAGAUUCAUAGCACGUUGAUGUUUGUAGCUUGAUGAUUUUCCACAUGGUUCCUCACUGAAACAAACCAUAUUUAACAUUGUAACAUCGUCAUUUUAUUUACCGGCGUAAAGUUUUCUUGCAGUUUUUUUUAAUGAAGCACUGUCCUUUUGAAUUUGCAAACUUUGAUAAUACCAAGUUUGACAAAAUAGGAUGUCUGAAUACUUAGUUUGGCAAAUUAGGGUUUGUAAAUACCAUUUUUGUUCGCUCACCUAUGGUAGCUGUUCAGCCUGAAUUUUGCAGGUCCAUGCUUUCUAAAAUUCUAAGUGCUAUCUGGGCAAUAGAUCAUGGUCACUACAUUUUCGUAUUCUUUUUAUUCUGAUAUGAAGCUAUUCUUGCUUUGUCUUAAGGUCGGUUUGGCUCUUGUGGUGAACGGAAAGGUAGCAGUAGGAGUGAUGGGAUGUCCAAAUUGGACCACGGCAAACAAGAAAGAAGAAAAUCUUGAUCCCUGUCCUGGCAAUGGCAUCCUUAUGGUGUCUCAUGUAGGCUGUGGUACUUGGUCUAGGCACUUGUCUCCUGAGAUUGGCCAGCUCACCACAGCACAGGAUGUUUGGAAGAGAUGUUUUGUUGAUGCAUGUUCAGUUGUGCACAUGGCACGCUUCUGCAUUCCGGAUAGCCAAACUUGGAACAUGAUACCAUUAUCCCUCCUCUUUGACUCAACGACGGACGAAUCUGAUACUCGAGAUGAGAAUAAAAUUCUUCUCCGAUAUGCUUGCUGUGGCAGCUUGUGCAAAUAUAUAAUGGUAGCAUCUGGGAGAGCCUCAGUUUUUUUCAGUCGAGCCCGGGUGAACACUCAAAUCAAGGCUUGGGAUCAUGCUGUUGGGAUGAUUUGUGUGCAGGAAGCUGGCGGUCAGAUCAGUGACUGGAGUGGGAAACCGUUGGAUCUUGCAGCUGACCUAACAGGGCGCAGAAUUCUCUACCCUUCAGGCGGUGUUCUUGUGACAAACGGUGCUGUGCACGACAAACUCGUCGAACUGAUAUCAGCAAACCACGAAUAGAUGCAAUGUUUCACAGCUUCAAACAGGAGCACAAUUUUGUUUUGUCUGUAACAUUUUACCGUGUGGACCAACAAUCUGUAUCGGGUCUCGCAUUCAGAGAGGGGAAAAAAACGCAUCCUUGUUCAGAAUAUUUUACAUGAAUCAAACAGCACAGUUCCCUUU
RNAcentral lists this ribosomal RNA (2759 nucleotides) under Triticum aestivum (bread wheat). RNAcentral describes it as "partial small subunit ribosomal RNA". The record is from RNAcentral. Lineage: Eukaryota; Viridiplantae; Streptophyta; Magnoliopsida; Poales; Poaceae.